UUGUAGGCUGCAACUCGCCUACAUGAAGUCGGAAUCGCUAGUAAUCGCGGAUCAGCAUGCCGCGGUGAAUACGUUCCCGGGCCUUGUACACACCGCCCGUCACACCAUGAGAGUUUGUAACACCCAAAGCCGGUGGGGUAACCUUUUGGAGCCAGCCGUCUAAGGUGGGACAGAUGAUUGGGGUGAAGUCGUAACAAGGUAUC
Molecule: ribosomal RNA, 203 nt
Filed under: uncultured bacterium
Lineage: Bacteria
Description: partial 16S ribosomal RNA
Rfam family: Bacterial small subunit ribosomal RNA
Source: RNAcentral